Molecule: ribosomal RNA, 497 nt
Filed under: uncultured bacterium
Lineage: Bacteria
Description: partial 16S ribosomal RNA
Rfam family: Bacterial small subunit ribosomal RNA
Source: RNAcentral
GAGGACCACUGGCGGCGUGCCUAAUACAUGCAAGUCGAGCGAACGGACGAGAAGCUUGCUUCUCUGAUGUUAGCGGCGGACGGGUGAGUAACACGUGGAUAACCUACCUAUAAGACUGGGAUAACUUCGGGAAACCGGAGCUAAUACCGGAUAAUAUUUUGAACCGCAUGGUUCAAAAGUGAAAGACGGUCUUGCUGUCACUUAUAGAUGGAUCCGCGCUGCAUUAGCUAGUUGGUAAGGUAACGGCUUACCAAGGCAACGAUGCAUAGCCGACCUGAGAGGGUGAUCGGCCACACUGGAACUGAGACACGGUCCAGACUCCUACGGGAGGCAGCAGUAGGGAAUCUUCCGCAAUGGGCGAAAGCCUGACGGAGCAACGCCGCGUGAGUGAUGAAGGUCUUCGGAUCGUAAAACUCUGUUAUUAGGGAAGAACAUAUGUGUAAGUAACUGUGCACAUCUUGACGGUACCUAAUCAGAAAGCCACGGCUAACUACGUG